RNAcentral lists this ribosomal RNA (393 nucleotides) under uncultured bacterium. RNAcentral describes it as "partial 16S ribosomal RNA". It matches the Rfam family "Bacterial small subunit ribosomal RNA", at positions 523 to 918 of the family's 1533-position model. The record is from RNAcentral.
AUACGGAGGAUCCGAGCGUUAUCCGGAUUUAUUGGGUUUAAAGGGAGCGCAGGCGGCACUUCAAGCGUGACGUUAAAUUUCGGGGCCCACCCCCGUUUUGCGUCGCGAACUGUUGUGCUUGAGUAGGCGGCAGGGAGGCGGAAUUCGCGGUGUAGCGGUGAAAUGCUUAGAUAUCGCGAGGAACUCCGAUAGCGCAGGCAGCCUCCCGUUGCUUUACUGACGCUCAUGCUCGAAGGUGCGGGUAUCGAACAGGAUUAGAUACCCUGGUAGUCCGCACUGUAAACGAUGGAUGCCCGCUGUUGGGCCUUUUGGGUUCAGUGGCCAAGAGAAAUCGUUAAGCAUCCCACCUGGGGAGUACGCCGGCAACGGUGAAACUCAAAGGAAUUGACGGGG